Molecule: non-coding RNA, 2973 nt
Organism: Camellia sinensis
Lineage: Eukaryota; Viridiplantae; Streptophyta; Magnoliopsida; Ericales; Theaceae
Source: RefSeq, a predicted model, not a curated record
CAUCAACAACAUCUUCAUCAACAUCAUCAUCAUCAACACAUCAUCAUUAGCCAACAAUUUUAUUUUUAUUUUUUCCUUCACCUUCAGAUCUAGAAAAGAAAAAAAAGAAAAAAAAUAGAAGCCCCGGCUUUGGAAGCACCGAAGAUUGUGUCUAUACCUUCAAAUGGAGGACUGUUGUAGCACUAAGGGCAUAAAGGGAAUGUCUUGCCUUCUGGGUCAAGCAAGGAGAAGGGCAGAAGCUCAAAGUUGUCCAAGGGUUGUUGCCUCUCUCUCUCUUUCCAUCUGUCUUCUCUCUUCCUCUCUCUCUCUCUCUCUUGCCCUCUCUUUGUUUCAGAUAUAAACGAGAAAAAAAAAACUGCCCAAAAAGACGUCGUUUUGGGCAGUUGAGCCAUUCGGGCCACUUAUUUUUCGACUACCAAUCUUGUUCCUAAUUUAUCCUUUUGCCGACCAAAUUUGGCGACUGAAAGAAAUUUAGUCACCAAAAGUGCAGUUUUUGGCAAAUAAAACUGAUAUUGGUUGGCAUUGGUUUAGGAUUUACCUACUAAACUAUUUUAGUCAUGGUAUAUUAUUUAUUAGCGACUAAAAAAAAUUAGUGGCUAAAUAUUCCACAAUAGGUGACUAAAAAAAUAUUGGUCGCCGCUAGUCUAGUUUUUAGGUUACUAAAGUUUGUUUUAGUCAUAGUAUACUAAUUUUUGCCAACUGAAAUAAAUUUAAUCGCCAAAUAAUAGCCAUAAUUUUACUGUGACUCUUUGACGACAAAAACUUUAGUCAACAAAUAUGCAAUUUUGGUGACUAAAAAAUAAUUAGUCACCAAAUAAUCCAACUUAUGGCGACUAAAAAACAUUUCAGUCACUAAAAGGUUUAUAAAAUUUUAGUGGGAAAAUAUUAAUGAGAUUGGCACCCAAAUUUUACAUCCUUCUGUUUAGGAAUGCAAACAGUUCUUCUCUCUCUCUCUCUCUCUCUCUCUCUCUCACUCACACACGCACACACACACGGAAUCAGUCACCACAAAACCUCACCUCACCGCAGUCGCUCACGAAUGUCGCAAAUCACCAGCGCCGCAAUAUAAACAGGUACCCUUCAUUUAUGUCACGGACUUCUAAUUUAAGAGUGCUCUUGGCUGGAUUAUGUAGUCUUUUGUCAUUAAUAUAAACUGCGAUCAGUUUCGUCUCCAUCUCAAAGUGGGCCCACUUGGACCAUCAGUCAGCUUACAUGGCACACCUCCACUCUUUGACUUGGUAGCGUGGUUUAAUUUAUUUUUUUUUCAUGACGAGAAACAUGCAAAAAAUGCUCCAAAAAAAGGCAUUAAUGGUAUGGCCAUGGGUGUCACAUGAUGAUUAUGAUUCAUGUCUGACCAUCCCAAUGAUGGACGAUUUUUAUAAAAGUUACAAUAUCUGAACGUUGGCAUUAAAAGUUGUAUAAAUUUCUUGUGAGAUUCUUACAUCGUUCUUUAAUAAGCUCAUUGCUUUCCAUACAUUGGAUUCUUAGUUGUCAGCUAUCCUAAAGUGUGUUUGUGUCUGUGCGCGCGCGCGCAUGUGCUUCUUUGGAUGUUUUCCUCACUGCUCUGUUGCCAAUAUAUAUUUUUGAAAUGGGCAUCGUUGUAUAUACUCUUUCAGGAUGGUUUAUAAUUUCUGACUUCAAAUUUGGCUCGUAGGCAAUUCAAGACUCAAGAAAAUAAGAUACAGAUGAGAAGGCUUCGGCAUAUGAAUUGACAUAUUCAAUUUGCUUGGAGCAAGUUAACUAGGAAGCCUGCUAUGUUUGCAUCAAGUUUCUCUUCUCGCUUCAUACCUAUUUAACAAUUUCCCAUUAGUGCAUGUAACAUGAUGAUUCUAAUCUUUUGAUCUUCAUAUGCAGUGAACAUAUGCUCAGUUCAAUCAAUAUUUAAGUACUUUGGUGAAUUUCCAAAUUAUUAAUGUUGAUUUUAUUUAUUAAUAGUACUUUGGUUCUACGUGCUGCAUAAUCCCAUCUAGGCAGACCUCAGUCUACUGUUCUCCAACUUGCAUGAGUACAAGAAACAAAGAAAAUGCAGCAAACCUUUGCACCUAUUUGAACAUUACUGGAGUUUUUGUGACUUACAAGUUUUUGAACUUUUUUAUUUUUUGGCAAUUGUAAAUUUCCAUAUUGUUCUGCAUACUAAUGUAGUUACCAUCUGUGUAGAUUUCAAUAUACUCUAUGCUCUGUUACAUCCUAACUUGCAUCAAUGUAGAAAGAUCUAAUCGGAUCAAAGCUUUGCUUCCCAAAAUUUCAAAAAAGUUAGUCUCAUCAUAGUAAAUUGAACUUGUUAAAUAAUUCGUUAGAAUCUAGAUAUGCUUGUCUUUGAUUACUCAGUUGCUGUUGUCUUUUGCAGUUCCAAGCCAACCUCAGGGAUCCAUCGCCAUGCAUGAUGCUGCUGGUUGGAUCAGCGUGAUGGACCAUUUGCAACAAUUAUGUGGAUGACCAUAACCUGUUGCAAAAGAUCAAAGAUGAUGAUUUUCUGUAGGUCAACACCACUUUUGGAUUGACAAAGAUACUUUUACCAUAAUUAUUUUCUUAGAGAAGUAGCACCCCAGCAAUAAUCACUUGUAUCAGUCUGAAGAACUUGUAUCAACUAGGCAUGACUUAGAAGGCUCUUGGGUGGCAAGGGAGAUUUUAGGUGAGGGUGUGGGACGAGUCUUCCCAGUAUGGAACACCGAUGACGCAAGAGGAAAUAUCAAGAUAGGUGCUUGGGAAGAAGGGAUAUUUAAGAGGAUUUGGGGUCAAUCCAAAACUAUCUUCCUCCGAUUAUGGAUCAAAUGCUGCAGCACAACGAGAUGUGGAGAUGCAAAGGCUUUAGAUCCGAGGUGGAGAUUACUUUUGGCAUGAAACAUAUGGCAUGGUAUAGAUUACUAGUGGAUAUUUCAUUUUUGUGUACGGAGGACAUGGUUUUUGUAUGAUUCCCUGCUUGUAUGGAAUUUGACGUUAAAUGACCAAAUUUUUGGAUGGUUGAAAGUGAAA